GACGAACGCUGGCGGCGUGCCUAAUACAUGCAAGUCGAACGAACUCUGGUAUUGAUUGGUGCUUGCAUCAUGAUUUACAUUUGAGUGAGUGGCGAACUGGUGAGUAACACGUGGGAAACCUGCCCAGAAGCGGGGGAUAACACCUGGAAACAGAUGCUAAUACCGCAUAACAACUUGGACCGCAUGGUCCGAGUUUGAAAGAUGGCUUCGGCUAUCACUUUUGGAUGGUCCCGCGGCGUAUUAGCUAGAUGGUGGGGUAACGGCUCACCAUGGCAAUGAUACGUAGCCGACCUGAGAGGGUAAUCGGCCACAUUGGGACUGAGACACGGCCCAAACUCCUACGGGAGGCAGCAGUAGGGAAUCUUCCACAAUGGACGAAAGUCUGAUGGAGCAACGCCGCGUGAGUGAAGAAGGGUUUCGGCUCGUAAAACUCUGUUGUUAAAGAAGAACAUAUCUGAGAGUAACUGUUCAGGUAUUGACGGUAUUUAACCAGAAAGCCACGGCUAACUACGUGCCAGCAGCCGCGGUAAUACGUAGGUGGCAAGCGUUGUCCGGAUUUAUUGGGCGUAAAGCGAGCGCAGGCGGUUUUUUAAGUCUGAUGUGAAAGCCUUCGGCUCAACCGAAGAAGUGCAUCGGAAACUGGGAAACUUGAGUGCAGAAGAGGACAGUGGAACUCCAUGUGUAGCGGUGAAAUGCGUAGAUAUAUGGAAGAACACCAGUGGCGAAGGCGGCUGUCUGGUCUGUAACUGACGCUGAGGCCCGAAAGUAUGGGUAGCAAACAGGAUUAGAUACCCUGGUAGUCCAUACCGUAAACGAUGAAUGCUAAGUGUUGGAGGGUUUCCGCCCUUCAGUGCUGCAGCUAACGCAUUAAGCAUUCCGCCUGGGGAGUACGGCCGCAAGGCUGAAACUCAAAGGAAUUGACGGGGGCCCGCACAAGCGGUGGAGCAUGUGGUUUAAUUCGAAGCUACGCGAAGAACCUUACCAGGUCUUGACCUACUAUGCAAAUCUAAGAGAUUAGACGUUCCCUUCGGGGACAUGGAUACAGGUGGUGCAUGGUUGUCGUCAGCUCGUGUCGUGAGAUGUUGGGUUAAGUCCCGCAACGAGCGCAACCCUUAUUAUCAGUUGCCAGCAUUAAGUUGGGCACUCUGGUGAGACUGCCGGUGACAAACCGGAGGAAGGUGGGGAUGACGUCAAAUCAUCAUGCCCCUUAUGACCUGGGCUACACACGUGCUACAAUGGAUGGUACAACGAGUUGCGAACUCGCGAGAGUAAGCUAAUCUCUUAAAGCCAUUCUCAGUUCGGAUUGUAGGCUGCAACUCGCCUACAUGAAGUCGGAAUCGCUAGUAAUCGCGGAUCAGCAUGCCGCGGUGAAUACGUUCCCGGGCCUUGUACACACCGCCCGUCACACCAUGAGAGUUUGUAACACCCAAAGUCGGUGGGGUAACCUUUUAGGAACCAGCCGCCUAAGGUGGGACAGAUGAUUAGGGUG
RNAcentral lists this ribosomal RNA (1489 nucleotides) under Lactiplantibacillus plantarum. RNAcentral describes it as "bacterial SSU rRNA". It matches the Rfam family "Bacterial small subunit ribosomal RNA". Lineage: Bacteria; Bacillati; Bacillota; Bacilli; Lactobacillales; Lactobacillaceae. The record is from RNAcentral.